GACAGAGGCGGCGAGCGUUAUCGGGAGUCAUUGGGCGUAAAGGGUACGUAGGCGGCUAGUCAAGUCUGAGGUUAAAGACCACAGCUUAACUGUGGGAAGGCCUUGGAAACUGACUGGCUAGAGUGGGGCAGGGGUUGCGGGAAUUCCCGGUGUAGCGGUGAAAUGCGUAGAUAUCGGGAAGAACACCUGAGGCGAAAGCGCGCAACUGGGUCCUAACUGACGCUGAGGUACGAAAGCUAGGGGAGCGAAUGGG
Molecule: ribosomal RNA, 253 nt
Filed under: uncultured bacterium
Lineage: Bacteria
Description: partial 16S ribosomal RNA
Rfam family: Bacterial small subunit ribosomal RNA
Source: RNAcentral